Molecule: transfer-messenger RNA, 140 nt
Filed under: Lawsonia intracellularis
Lineage: Bacteria; Pseudomonadati; Thermodesulfobacteriota; Desulfovibrionia; Desulfovibrionales; Desulfovibrionaceae
Description: transfer-messenger RNA Lawso_intra_PHEMN1
Rfam family: transfer-messenger RNA
About the family: Bacterial tmRNA, also known as 10Sa RNA or SsrA, is named for its dual tRNA and mRNA-like properties. Its role is to liberate the mRNA from a stalled ribosome. To accomplish this part of the tmRNA is used as a reading frame that ends in a translation stop signal.
Source: RNAcentral
GGGGACGCACUGGUUUCGACGGGGAUGUGGAAACCAAAGUGGCAGGUCGAGGCGCCGCUGGCCUCGUAAAAAGCGGCAACAAUGUAAUUGCAAACAACAAUUACGACUACGCUCUUGCUGCAUAAGUAAUAGCGUACCUG